UGGAUGGGGGUGAAAGGCCAAUCAAACCGGGAGAUAGCUGGUUCUCCCCGAAAGCUAUUUAGGUAGCGCCUCGUGAAUUCAUCUUCGGGGGUAGAGCACUGUUUCGACUAGGGGGUCAUCCCGACUUACCAACUCGAUGCAAACUGCGAAUACCGAAGAAUGUUAUCACGGGAGACACACGGCGGGUGCUAACGUCCGUCGUGAAGAGGGAAACAACCCAGACCGCCAGCUAAGGUCCCAAAGUCAUGGUUAAGUGGGAAACGAAGUGGGAAGGCUCAGACAGCCAGGAUGUUGGCUUAGAAGCAGCCAUCAUUUAAAGAAAGCGUAAUAGCUCACUGGUCGAGUCGGCCCGCGCGGAAGAUGUAACGGGGCUAAACCAUGCACCGAAGCUGCGGCAGCGACACAAAGUGUUGUUGGGUAGGGGAGCGUUCUGUAAGCCUGCGAAGGUGUACUGUGAGGUAUGCUGGAGGUAUCAGAAGUGCGAAUGCU
This 489-nucleotide ribosomal RNA is filed under the name Proteus mirabilis. RNAcentral's name for it is "partial 23S ribosomal RNA". It matches the Rfam family "Bacterial large subunit ribosomal RNA", at positions 812 to 1298 of the family's 2925-position model. The record is from RNAcentral. Lineage: Bacteria; Pseudomonadati; Pseudomonadota; Gammaproteobacteria; Enterobacterales; Morganellaceae.